GGAGUUUGGGCCGUGUCUCAGUCCCAAUGUGGCCGUUCACCCUCUCAGGCCGGCUACUGAUCGUCGCCUUGGUGGGCCGUUACCUCACCAACUAGCUAAUCAGACGCGGGUCCAUCUUAUCCCGAUAAAUCUUUUCACACUGUUUCAUGCGAAACUGUGCGCUUAUGCGGUAUUAGCAGUAAUUUCUCACUGUUAUCCCCCCUGGAUAAGGCAGGUUACCCACGCGUUACUCACCCGUCCGCCACUAAGUUAAAGAUCCAUCCGAAAAUUUCUCUUUAACCCCGUUCGACUUGCAUGUGUUAGGCACGCCGCCAGCGUUCAUC
RNAcentral lists this ribosomal RNA (323 nucleotides) under uncultured Lachnospiraceae bacterium. RNAcentral's name for it is "partial 16S ribosomal RNA". The record is from RNAcentral. Lineage: Bacteria; Bacillati; Bacillota; Clostridia; Lachnospirales; Lachnospiraceae.